AUUUAGAGGAAGUAAAAGUCGUAACAAGGUUUCCGUAGGUGAACCUGCGGAAGGAUCAUUAUCGAAUCUGAAAGGGGGUUGUUGCUGGCCUUUAGGGGCAUGUGCACGCCUCUGCUCUAUUCUCCUUCAACCACUGUGCACCCUUUGUAGGCUGGAGAAAUCUGGUCUAUGUUUUUUUAUACCCACCUAAACAAGUAUUAGAAUGUCAUACUUUUCAGUACACUCGAGAGGGUGGAAAAAAAAUUAUACAACUUUCAACAACGGAUCUCUUGGCUCUCGCAUCGAUGAAGAACGCAGCGAAAUGCGAUAAGUAAUGUGAAUUGCAGAAUUCAGUGAAUCAUCGAAUCCUUGAACGCACCUUGCGCUCCUUGGUAUUCCGAGGAGCAUGCCUGUUUGAGUGUCAUUAAAUUCUCAACCCCCCGACGGAUUUGUUUCUGACGUGGGGCUUGGAUGUGAGGGUGUGCUGGACUCCAUUAGGAGGUCAGCUCCCUUUGAAUGCAUUAGCGGAUUUUACCAUCGUGGAUAGGCUUCGGACUGAUAAUUAUCUAUGCCGUCGCCGUGAAGCGGUAAUCUGCUCAUAACCGUCUUUGGACAAUUUUUUGACCAUUUGACCUCAAAUCAGGUAGGACUACCCGCUGAACUUAAGCAUAUCAAUAAGCGGAGGAA
This 666-nucleotide ribosomal RNA is filed under the name uncultured fungus. RNAcentral describes it as "eukaryotic LSU rRNA". The stretch from base 250 to 403 matches the Rfam family "5.8S ribosomal RNA". The record is from RNAcentral. Lineage: Eukaryota; Fungi.